GGGAGAAAGACCAGGUUCACUGUGGUCUGCGAUAAAUUUGUCUGCAUCAUGGGAAUCCCAGCGUCUGUCCGGGGAGCACUCUCUGGAGGUUUCUUCUCGUUCCCAUCAGCAGUCGUGAAAUCCUCGGAGGCGUCUCCGCUGCCGCCCGUCCUGUGCUCUGCCUGCUCCUGAUGUCAGCCUCCUGCUUAGACAUCCUCUCCGUGAGACAUCCUCGUUAGAUAGCUUCCUCUCUGGUACCUGCUUUCUCAGUCCAAAGUUGGCUGAAUGAUUGAAAAGCCACAUUUAUUUUUGAAGUAUGUCAUAAGGGCUCUGCUGUGAUCAGCUUUGCCAGACAGUGUAAAUUUGAGCGGAAUUGUCAAUUCCUUGAAGUUGAGCACACACAUACCUACACGUGUACGUGCGGGGGUAUGUAAAUAC
This 417-nucleotide long non-coding RNA is filed under the name Dromaius novaehollandiae (emu). RNAcentral's name for it is "lncRNA (ENSDNVG00000005261.1)". Lineage: Eukaryota; Metazoa; Chordata; Aves; Casuariiformes; Dromaiidae. The record is from RNAcentral.